This 724-nucleotide ribosomal RNA is filed under the name Halorubrum kocurii. Its description in RNAcentral is "bacterial SSU rRNA". It matches the Rfam family "Archaeal small subunit ribosomal RNA", at positions 56 to 781 of the family's 1478-position model. The record is from RNAcentral. Lineage: Archaea; Methanobacteriati; Methanobacteriota; Halobacteria; Halobacteriales; Haloferacaceae.
AGUCGCACGAGUUCAGACUCGUGGCGAAUAGCUCAGUAACACGUGGCCAAACUACCCUUCGGACCAUCAUACCCUCGGGAAACUGAGGCUAAUAGUGGAUACCACAGUCCACCUGGAAUGAGGACUGUGGCAAACGCUCCGGCGCCGAAGGAUGUGGCUGCGGCCGAUUAGGUAGACGGUGGGGUAACGGCCCACCGUGCCAAUAAUCGGUACGGGUCAUGAGAGUGAGAACCCGGAGACGGAAUCUGAGACAAGAUUCCGGGCCCUACGGGGCGCAGCAGGCGCGAAACCUUUACACUGCACGACAGUGCGAUAAGGGAAUCCCAAGUGCGCAGGCAUAGAGCCUGCGCUUUUGUCCACCGUAGGGAGGUGGACGAAUAAGGGCUGGGCAAGACCGGUGCCAGCCGCCGCGGUAAUACCGGCAGCCCGAGUGAUGGCCGAUCUUAUUGGGCCUAAAGCGUCCGUAGCUGGCCGCGCAAGUCUAUCGGAAAAUCCACCCGCUCAACGGGUGGGCGUCCGGUAGAAACUGCGUGGCUUGGGACCGGAAGGCGCGACGGGUACGUCCGGGGUAGGAGUGAAAUCCCGUAAUCCUGGACGGACCGCCGAUGGCGAAAGCACGUCGCGAAGACGGAUCCGACAGUGAGGGACGAAAGCUAGGGUCUCGAACCGGAUUAGAUACCCGGGUAGUCCUAGCCGUAAACAAUGCCUGCUAGGUGUGGCUCCC